This 219-nucleotide unclassified non-coding RNA is filed under the name uncultured bacterium. Its description in RNAcentral is "contains 16S-23S intergenic spacer region". The record is from RNAcentral.
UUUGCUGGCUUGUCAUUUGAUUGUCUCGCCCACAAGUGCAGGGACCUUAUCUGAGGGGUUUGCUGGGCAAAUUUCACGGCAGCAAACGCUGAUAGGUGUGUGCUCGGUUGAUCAGUCGUGUCUGACUCUUUGGGGCCCCAUGGACUGUAGCCCCUCAGACUCCUCUGUCCAUGGAAUUUUCCAGGCAAGAAUACUGGACUGGGUUGCCACUUGCUCCUC